CGGGAGGCAGCAGUGGGGAAUCUUAGACAAUGGGGGCAACCCUGAUCUAGCCAUGCCGCGUGAGUGAUGAAGGCCUUAGGGUCGUAAAGCUCUUUCGCCUGUGAUGAUAAUGACAGUAGCAGGUAAAGAAACCCCGGCUAACUCCGUGCCAGCAGCCGCGGUAAUACGGAGGGGGUUAGCGUUGUUCGGAAUUACUGGGCGUAAAGCGCGCGUAGGCGGAUUAGAAAGUCGGGGAUGAAAUCCCGAGGCUCAACCUCGGAACUGCCUCCAAAACUGCUAGUCUAGAGUUCGAGAGAGGUGAGUGGAAUUCCGAGUGUAGAGGUGAAAUUCGUAGAUAUUCGGAGGAACACCAGUGGCGAAGGCGGCUCACUGGCUCGAUACUGACGCUGAGGUGCGAAAGUGUGGGGAGCAAACAGGAUUAGAUACCCUGGUAGUCCACACCGUAAACGAUGAAUGCCAGUCGUCGGGUAGUAUACUAUUCGGUGACACACCUAACGGAUUAAGCAUUCCGCCUGGGGAGUACGGUCGCAAGAUUAAAACUCAAAUGAAUUG
Molecule: ribosomal RNA, 552 nt
Filed under: uncultured bacterium
Lineage: Bacteria
Description: bacterial SSU rRNA
Rfam family: Bacterial small subunit ribosomal RNA
Source: RNAcentral